This 598-nucleotide long non-coding RNA is filed under the name Triticum aestivum (bread wheat). RNAcentral describes it as "long non-coding RNA (TAES_LNC001703)". The record is from RNAcentral. Lineage: Eukaryota; Viridiplantae; Streptophyta; Magnoliopsida; Poales; Poaceae.
GAUGAUGAUGAUGAGACUGACAACCACAAGGUAAGCUCGCCGAGUGCAUCCUCUCAAGGGUAGGAAGCGUUUUCGGAGGAAGACUGACGACCAAGAGGACGGGAAUGAUGAUGGUGUGAGACAAUGUAGCAGGUACCCAUUAUUAGUUUGUGCUGCUUUCACAUGUUGUGAUUAAAAUUGGUAAUUUUGUGUUGCAGAAAACAAUAGCACAUAUUUCCGAGAGGAGUACAAAGGAGAACAAAAAAAAAUGGAUGAUGAAGACGUGUCGACACUCUUGAUGUAUGAUAUUCUUCCUAGGAUCUAAUUUUUUUUUUACAUAAAAACGCAUAGGUAUGAAAUGGUCAAUCAAAAUGUACAACAUCGCUUGUCCAAAAAACAUUUUGAUGUGUCUUAUUUUAGGUCAACAUCAAGUGCGGUUUUGUUAAUUUAGAUAUUGAUGCUUGGAUUGGGGAGACGGAAUAGUGAGUGCUGGAAGAAGACUGAUGUAAUGAAAAAGCUGACACUUGUUUGAUGUGCAUGUAGAUAUGAUCAAUGUUAAACCACUAGAAUUAGGCGACCCCGGUGCAAUGCACGGGCAAUUACCUAUUAGUAAACAAAU